Molecule: ribosomal RNA, 464 nt
Filed under: Vreelandella stevensii
Lineage: Bacteria; Pseudomonadati; Pseudomonadota; Gammaproteobacteria; Oceanospirillales; Halomonadaceae
Description: partial 16S ribosomal RNA
Rfam family: Bacterial small subunit ribosomal RNA
Source: RNAcentral
CCUACGGGUGGCAGCAGUGGGGAAUAUUGGACAAUGGGCGAAAGCCUGAUCCAGCCAUGCCGCGUGUGUGAAGAAGGCCUUCGGGUUGUAAAGCACUUUCAGUGGGGAAGAAAGCCUUGGGGCUAAUACCCUCGAGGAAGGACAUCACCCACAGAAGAAGCACCGGCUAACUCCGUGCCAGCAGCCGCGGUAAUACGGAGGGUGCGAGCGUUAAUCGGAAUUACUGGGCGUAAAGCGCGCGUCGGCGGUCUGAUAAGCCGGUUGUGAAAGCCCCGGGCUCAACCUGGGAACGGCAUCCGGAACUGUCAGGCUAGAGUGCAGGAGAGGAAGGUAGAAUUCCCGGUGUAGCGGUGAAAUGCGUAGAGAUCGGGAGGAAUACCAGUGGCGAAGGCGGCCUUCUGGACUGACACUGACGCUGAGGUGCGAAAGCGUGGGUAGCAAACAGGAUUAGAUACCGUGUAGUC